CACUGGGGAAGGAUCUUUUCCUGGAGAUUGCUCCUUUUGGAGUUUUUUCUGCAAGCCUAUAACACAGGUGGUGUAAGGCUUAUAUAGCUUAUAUAGCAAUUUGAGAAAAAAGAUGAAGCAAGGGUAUAUCUGGUGUUUGUAGAACCACAUUUGGAAAAAACAAAAAACAAACAAAAAUAACAACAACAAAACCCACCAAAACAAAACAACAACCAAAAACAACAACACAAAACCAAACCCUUUUUAAAGUAAAAAAGGACUGCUGAUCCACUUAGUAGCGUGCUGUUUAAUGACUCUAAGUGAUAAUGCACUUAAACUGUUAAUUCAAGGGUUAAUCCUCCUCGAACACUGAGCUUGGAAAAAAAAC
Molecule: long non-coding RNA, 367 nt
Organism: Gallus gallus (chicken)
Lineage: Eukaryota; Metazoa; Chordata; Aves; Galliformes; Phasianidae
Source: Ensembl